Molecule: non-coding RNA, 47 nt
Organism: Branchiostoma floridae (Florida lancelet)
Lineage: Eukaryota; Metazoa; Chordata; Leptocardii; Amphioxiformes; Branchiostomatidae
Source: Rfam
ACACCGGCCCUUUUCAGGGCCACCAAAAUAUUUCUUGAGUGCUGUAU